GGCUGGAUAGCUCAGUUGGUAGAGCAAAGGACUGAAAAUCCUUGUGUCCCUGGUUCGAUUCCUGGUCCAGCCACCA
This 76-nucleotide transfer RNA is filed under the name Alphaproteobacteria bacterium 33-17. RNAcentral's name for it is "tRNA-Phe". It matches the Rfam family "tRNA". From Rfam's summary of the family: Transfer RNA (tRNA) molecules are approximately 80 nucleotides in length. Their secondary structure includes four short double-helical elements and three loops (D, anti-codon, and T loops). Further hydrogen bonds mediate the characteristic L-shaped molecular structure. tRNAs have two regions of fundamental functional importance: the anti-codon, which is responsible for specific mRNA codon recognition, and the 3' end, to which the tRNAs corresponding amino acid is attached (by aminoacyl-tRNA synthetases). tRNAs cope with the degeneracy of the genetic code in two manners: having more than one tRNA (with a specific anti-codon) for a particular amino acid; and 'wobble' base-pairing, i.e. permitting non-standard base-pairing at the 3rd anti-codon position. The record is from RNAcentral. RNAcentral also lists the same sequence under 3 other names. Lineage: Bacteria; Pseudomonadati; Pseudomonadota; Alphaproteobacteria.